This 516-nucleotide ribosomal RNA is filed under the name uncultured bacterium. RNAcentral describes it as "bacterial SSU rRNA". It matches the Rfam family "Bacterial small subunit ribosomal RNA", at positions 523 to 1036 of the family's 1533-position model. The record is from RNAcentral.
AUACGAAGGUCCCAAGCGUUGUUCGGAAUCACUGGGCGUAAAGCGUGUGUAGGCUGCGCGGAAAGUCAAAUGUGAAAGCCCGGGGCUCAACCUCGGAACUGCAUUCGAUACUCCCGUGCUAGAGUAAUGGAGAGGUAAGUGGAAUUCCUGGUGUAGCAGUGAAAUGCGUAGAUCUCGGGAGGAACACCGAUGGCGAAGGCAGCUUCUUGGUCCAUCCCUGACGUUGAAACACGAAAGCGUGGGGAGCAAACAGGAUUAGAUACCCUGGUAGUCCACGCCGUAAACGCUGAUCACUGGAUGUUGGUUUAGCUCUGCUAAAUCAGUAUCGAAGCUAACGCGUUAAGUGAUCCGCCUGGGGAAUACGGUCGCAAGAUUAAAACUCAAAGGAAUUGACGGGGUCCGCACAAGCGGUGGAACAUGUGGUUUAAUUCGUCGCUACGCGAGGAACCUUACCUGGGCUUGACAUGUAUUUGACAGCUGUGGAAACACAGUCUUUCGGGCUUCGGUUCGGACAGA